Molecule: ribosomal RNA, 440 nt
Filed under: uncultured bacterium
Lineage: Bacteria
Description: partial 16S ribosomal RNA
Source: RNAcentral
GACUACUAGGGUAUCUAAUCCUGUUUGCUCCCCACGCUUUCGUGCCUCAGCGUCAGGAAAGGCCCAGCCGGCUGUCUUCACCUUUGGCAUUCCGAUCGAUCUCUACGCAUUCCACCGCUCCACCGAUCGUUCUGCCGGCCUCUACCUUCCUCAAGACCAGUAGUUCGCCCUGCUGUUCCCCGGUUGAGCCGGGGGAUUUCACAAGACGCUUUCUGGCCCGCCUACGCACCCUUUAAGCCCAGUGAUUCCGACUAACGCUUGGACCACUCGUAUUACCGCGGCUGCUGGCACGAGUUUAGCCGGUCCUUCCUCUGAGGCUCUUCAUAGUUAGUAGCCCCUGACAGCAGUUUACACAGCGAAGCUGCUUCAUCCUGCACGCGGCAUUGCUCCGUCACGCUUUCGCGCAUUGCGGAAUAUUCCUUACUGCAGCCGCCCGUAGG